This 376-nucleotide ribosomal RNA is filed under the name uncultured bacterium. RNAcentral describes it as "bacterial SSU rRNA". It matches the Rfam family "Bacterial small subunit ribosomal RNA", at positions 521 to 895 of the family's 1533-position model. The record is from RNAcentral.
UAAUACGUAGGGUGCGAGCGUUAAUCGGAAUUACUGGGCGUAAAGCGUGCGCAGGCGGCGCCGCAAGUCGAGUGUGAAAUCCCCGAGCUUAACUUGGGAAUUGCGCUCGAAACUACGGUGCUGGAGUGUGGCAGAGGGAGGUGGAAUUCCACGUGUAGCGGUGAAAUGCGUAGAGAUGUGGAGGAACACCGAUGGCGAAGGCAGCCUCCUGGGCCAACACUGACGCUCAUGCACGAAAGCGUGGGGAGCAAACAGGAUUAGAUACCCUGGUAGUCCACGCCCUAAACGAUGAUGACUAGUUGUUGGGGGAGUUAAAUCCCUUAGUAACGCAGCUAACGCGUGAAGUCAUCCGCCUGGGGAGUACGGUCGCAAGAUU